GCCCCGGUAAACGGCGGCCGUAACUAUAACGGUCCUAAGGUAGCGAAAUUCCUUGUCGGGUAAGUUCCGACCUGCACGAAUGGCGUAAUGAUGGCCAGGCUGUCUCCACCCGAGACUCAGUGAAAUUGAACUCGCUGUGAAGAUGCAGUGUACCCGCGGCAAGACGGAAAGACCCCGUGAACCUUUACUAUAGCUUGACACUGAACAUUGAGCCUUGAUGUGUAGGAUAGGUGGGAGGCUUUGAAGUGUGGACGCCAGUCUGCAUGGAGCCGGCCUUGAAAUACCACCCUUUAAUGUUUGAUGUUCUAACGUGGACCCGUGAUCCGGGUUGCGGACAGUGUCUGGUGGGUAGUUUGACUGGGGCGGUCUCCUCCUAAAGAGUAACGGAGGAGCACGAAGGUUGGCUAAUCCUGGUCGGACAUCAGGAGGUUAGUGCAAUGGCAUAAGCCAGCUUGACUGCGAGCGUGACGGCGCGAGCAGGUGCGAAAGCAGGUCAUAGUGAUCCGGUGGUUCUGAAUGGAAGGGCCAUCGCUCAACGGAUAAAAGGUACUCCGGGGAUAACAGGCUGAUACCGCCCAAGAGUUCAUAUCGACGGCGGUGUUUGGCACCUCGAUGUCGGCUCAUCACAUCCUGGGGCUGAAGUAGGUCCCAAGGGUAUGGCUGUUCGCCAUUUAAAGUGGUACGCGAGCUGGGUUUAGAACGUCGUGAGACAGUUCGGUCCCUAUCUGCCGUGGGCGCUGGAGAACUGAGGGGGGCUGCUCCUAGUACGAGAGGACCGGAGUGGACGCAUCACUGGUGUUCGGGUUGUCAUGCCAAUGGCACUGCCCGGUAGCUAAAUGCGGAAGAGAUAAGUGCUGAAAGCAUCUAAGCACGAAACUUGCCCCGAGAUGAGUUCUCCCUGAGACUUAGAGUCUCCUGAAGGAACGUUGAAGACGACGACGUUGAUAGGCCGGGUGUGUAAGCGCAGCGAUGCGUUGAGCUAACCGGUACUAAUGAACCGUGAGGCUUAACCUUACAACGCCGAAG
RNAcentral lists this ribosomal RNA (1026 nucleotides) under Salmonella enterica. RNAcentral's name for it is "partial 23S ribosomal RNA". It matches the Rfam family "Bacterial large subunit ribosomal RNA", at positions 1917 to 2925 of the family's 2925-position model. Lineage: Bacteria; Pseudomonadati; Pseudomonadota; Gammaproteobacteria; Enterobacterales; Enterobacteriaceae. The record is from RNAcentral.